CGUACACUCCUGCGGGAGGCAGCAGUGGGGAAUAUUGCACAAUGGGCGCAAGCCUGAUGCAGCCAUGCCGCGUGUAUGAAGAAGGCCUUCGGGUUGUAAAGUACUUUCAGCGGGGAGGAAGGCGAUAAGGUUAAUAACCUUGUCGAUUGACGUUACCCGCAGAAGAAGCACCGGCUAACUCCGUGCCAGCAGCCGCGGUAAUACGGAGGGUGCAAGCGUUAAUCGGAAUUACUGGGCGUAAAGCGCACGCAGGCGGUCUGUCAAGUCGGAUGUGAAAUCCCCGGGCUCAACCUGGGAACUGCAUUCGAAACUGGCAGGCUAGAGUCUUGUAGAGGGGGGUAGAAUUCCAGGUGUAGCGGUGAAAUGCGUAGAGAUCUGGAGGAAUACCGGUGGCGAAGGCGGCCCCCUGGACAAAGACUGACGCUCAGGUGCGAAAGCGUGGGGAGCAAACAGGAUUAGAAACCCGUGUAGUCCC
Molecule: ribosomal RNA, 475 nt
Filed under: uncultured organism
Description: partial 16S ribosomal RNA
Rfam family: Bacterial small subunit ribosomal RNA
Source: RNAcentral